Molecule: ribosomal RNA, 482 nt
Filed under: uncultured bacterium
Lineage: Bacteria
Description: partial 16S ribosomal RNA
Rfam family: Bacterial small subunit ribosomal RNA
Source: RNAcentral
AUUGAACGCUGGCGGCAUGCCUUACACAUACAAGUCGAACGGUAACGGGCCUUCGGGUGCCGACGAGUGGCGAACGGGUGAGUAAUACAUCGGAACGUGCCCGAUCGUGGGGGAUAACGAGGCGAAAGCUUUGCUAAUACCGCAUACGAUCUACGGAUGAAAGCAGGGGACCGCAAGGCCUUGCGCGGACGGAGCGGCCGAUGGCAGAUUAGGUAGUUGGUGGGAUAAAAGCUUACCAAGCCGACGAUCUGUAGCUGGUCUGAGAGGAUGAUCAGCCACACUGGGACUGAGACACGGCCCAGACUCCUACGGGAGGCAGCAGUGGGGAAUUUUGGACAAUGGGCGCAAGCCUGAUCCAGCCAUGCCGCGUGCAGGAUGAAGGCCUUCGGGUUGUAAACUGCUUUUGUACGGAACGAAAAGCCUUCUUUUAACACAGGAGGGUCAUGACGGUACCGUAAGAAUAAGCACCGGCUAACUACGUG